CAGCCGCCACGGUAAUACGAAGGGUGCAAGCGUUACUCGGAAUUACUGGGCGUAAAGCGCACGUAGGCGGAUAUUUAAGUCAGGGGUGAAAUCCCGCAGCUCAACUGCGGAACUGCCUUUGAUACUGGGUAUCUUGAGUAUGGAAGAGGUUAGUGGAAUUGCGAGUGUAGAGGUGAAAUUCGUAGAUAUUCGCAGGAACACCAGUGGCGAAGGCGGCUAACUGGUCCAUAACUGACGCUGAGGUGCGAAAGCGUGGGGAGCAAACAGGAUUAGAUACCCGAGUAGUCCCUGUCUCUUAUAA
This 301-nucleotide ribosomal RNA is filed under the name uncultured bacterium. RNAcentral describes it as "partial 16S ribosomal RNA". It matches the Rfam family "Bacterial small subunit ribosomal RNA", at positions 509 to 809 of the family's 1533-position model. The record is from RNAcentral.